CGAAGCGGAUCUCUUAAAGCUGUUCUCAGUUCGGACUGCAGUCUGCAACUCGACUGCACGAAGCUGGAAUCGCUAGUAAUCGCGGAUCAGCACGCCGCGGUGAAUACGUUCCCGGGCCUUGUACACACCGCCCGUCACACCAUGGAAGUCUGCAAUGCCCGAAGCCGGUGGCCUAACCACUUAUGUGGAAGGAGCCGUCUAAGGCAGGGCAGAUGACUGGGGUGAAGUCGUAACAAGGUAUC
RNAcentral lists this ribosomal RNA (242 nucleotides) under uncultured bacterium. Its description in RNAcentral is "partial 16S ribosomal RNA". It matches the Rfam family "Bacterial small subunit ribosomal RNA", at positions 1263 to 1500 of the family's 1533-position model. The record is from RNAcentral.